Molecule: ribosomal RNA, 418 nt
Filed under: uncultured Glomeromycotina
Lineage: Eukaryota; Fungi; Glomeromycota
Description: SSU rRNA
Rfam family: Eukaryotic small subunit ribosomal RNA
Source: RNAcentral
CGUACUGGCAUCGUCGGUUUCUCCCUUCUGACGAACCAUGAUGUCAUUUAUUUGGUGUCGUGGGGAAUCGGGACUGUUACUUUGAAAAAAUUAGAGUGUUUAAAGCAGGCUCACGCUUGAAUACAUUAGCAUGGAAUAAUGAAAUAGGACGUUUGAUUCUAUUUUGUUGGUUUCUAGGAUCGACGUAAUGAUUAAUAGGGAUAGUUGGGGGCAUUAGUAUUCAAUUGUCAGAGGUGAAAUUCUUGGAUUUAUUGAAGACUAACUACUGCGAAAGCAUUUGCCAAGGAUGUUUUCAUUAAUCAAGAACGAAAGUUAGGGGAUCGAAGACGAUCAGAUACCGUCGUAGUCUUAACCAUAAACUAUGCCGACUAGGGAUCGGAUGAUGUUAAUUUUUUAAUGACUCAUUCGGCGCCUUACG